UAUCAUGAUGAACAAGAGCCAUGUGCUCGAAUAAUCCCAGCUCGUCGACAGCAGCCUCAUUUACAAAUCUCACGUUAGAGGCUGUUAUGAGAGAAAGUCCAACCCUGAAAU
This 111-nucleotide small nucleolar RNA is filed under the name Exophiala oligosperma. RNAcentral's name for it is "A. fumigatus snoRNA Afu_304". It matches the Rfam family "A. fumigatus snoRNA Afu_304". The record is from Rfam by way of RNAcentral. Lineage: Eukaryota; Fungi; Ascomycota; Eurotiomycetes; Chaetothyriales; Herpotrichiellaceae.